Molecule: ribosomal RNA, 490 nt
Filed under: uncultured bacterium
Lineage: Bacteria
Description: partial 16S ribosomal RNA
Rfam family: Bacterial small subunit ribosomal RNA
Source: RNAcentral
AUUGAACGCUGGCGGCAUGCUUUACACAUGCAAGUCGAACGGCAGCGGGGUAGUGCUUGCACUACUGCCGGCGAGUGGCGAACGGGUGAGUAAUAUAUCGGAACGUACCGAGUAAUGGGGGAUAACCAAUCGAAAGAUUGGCUAAUACCGCAUACGUCCUGAGGGAGAAAGCGGGGGAUCGCAAGACCUCGCGUUAUUCGAGCGGCCGAUAACUGAUUAGCUAGUUGGUGGGGUAAAGGCCUACCAAGGCGACGAUCAGUAGCGAGUCUGAGAGGACGAUCCGCCACACUGGGACUGAGACACGGCCCAGACUCCUACGGGAGGCAGCAGUGGGGAAUUUUGGACAAUGGGGGCAACCCUGAUCCAGCCAUGCCGCGUGUAUGAAGAAGGCCUUCGGGUUGUAAAGUACUUUUGUUAGGGAAGAAAAGGGAAGUGCUAAUACCACUUUUUGCUGACGGUACCUAAAGAAUAAGCACCGGCUAACUACGUG